RNAcentral lists this ribosomal RNA (301 nucleotides) under uncultured bacterium. Its description in RNAcentral is "partial 16S ribosomal RNA". It matches the Rfam family "Bacterial small subunit ribosomal RNA", at positions 509 to 807 of the family's 1533-position model. The record is from RNAcentral.
CAGUAGCCGCGGGAACACAGAGGGUGCAAGCGUUAAUCGGAAUUACUGGGCGUAAAGCGUGCGUAGGCGGCUUCUUAAGUCGGAUGUGAAAUCCCUGAGCUUAACUUAGGAAUUGCAUUCGAUACUGGGAAGCUAGAGUAUGGGAGAGGAUGGUAGAAUUCCAGGUGUAGCGGUGAAAUGCGUAGAGAUCUGGAGGAAUACCGAUGGCGAAGGCAGCCAUCUGGCCUAAUACUGACGCUGAGGUACGAAAGCAUGGGGAGCAAACAGGAUUAGAUACCCCUGUAGUCCCUGUCUCUUAUAC